GGCUCCGUGGCGCAAUGGAUAGCGCAUUGGACUUCUAGUCAUGCAUUGAGUUGGCAUUCAAAGGUUGUGGGUUCGAGUCCCACCGGAGUCG
RNAcentral lists this transfer RNA (91 nucleotides) under Pleuronectes platessa (European plaice). It matches the Rfam family "tRNA". Rfam says of the family: Transfer RNA (tRNA) molecules are approximately 80 nucleotides in length. Their secondary structure includes four short double-helical elements and three loops (D, anti-codon, and T loops). The record is from Rfam by way of RNAcentral. Lineage: Eukaryota; Metazoa; Chordata; Actinopteri; Pleuronectiformes; Pleuronectidae.